GUGAGGAAUAUUGCGCAAUGGAGGCAACUCUGACGCAGCCAUGCCGCGUGCAGGAAGAAGGCCUUCGGGUUGUAAACUGCUUUUGUACGGAACGAAACGGUCCUGGUUAAUACCUGGGGCUAAUGACGGUACCGUAAGAAUAAGCACCGGCUAACUACGUGCCAGCAGCCGCGGUAAUACGUAGGGUGCGAGCGUUAAUCGGAAUUACUGGGCGUAAAGCGUGCGCAGGCGGUGCUGUAAGACAGGCGUGAAAUCCCCGGGCUCAACCUGGGAAUUGCGCUUGUGACUGCAGUGCUGGAGUACGGCAGAGGGGGAUGGAAUUCCGCGUGUAGCAGUGAAAUGCGUAGAUAUGCGGAGGAACACCGAUGGCGAAGGCAGUCCCCUGGGCCUGUACUGACGCUCAUGCACGAAAGCGUGGGGAGCAAACAGGAUUAGAAACCCUGGUAGUCC
This 450-nucleotide ribosomal RNA is filed under the name uncultured bacterium. RNAcentral describes it as "partial 16S ribosomal RNA". It matches the Rfam family "Bacterial small subunit ribosomal RNA", at positions 354 to 796 of the family's 1533-position model. The record is from RNAcentral.